Molecule: unclassified non-coding RNA, 287 nt
Filed under: uncultured fungus
Lineage: Eukaryota; Fungi
Description: partial contains 18S rRNA, ITS1, 5.8S rRNA, ITS2 and 28S rRNA
Source: RNAcentral
AAGGAUCAUUAAAAUAAGUGCUCUUUAACUUUUAGUUAAGAGACUACACCACUAUCCCAUCUCAUUCUUAAGCUAAAAUUUAAGGAGUAGAUGUGGCUAUUGUGUCCACCCAAUUGUGAAACUUCAAUUUUGCUUCGGCAGCACUCUUAGUGGGCAACCACUAGAGGGGUAAGGCUGUCAGAGGCCCAUAUCAAAACCAGUUGAUGAAAUGUCAUGCUGUCUGAUAUCAUACUAUUUUGAGAAAUCAAAUUAUAUUAAAACUUUCAGCAACGGAUCUCUUGGUUCUC